Molecule: unclassified non-coding RNA, 372 nt
Filed under: soil metagenome
Description: partial contains 5.8S ribosomal RNA, internal transcribed spacer 2, and large subunit ribosomal RNA
Rfam family: 5.8S ribosomal RNA (bases 1-120)
Source: RNAcentral
GAUGAAGAACGUAGCGAAAUGCGAAAAGUAGUGUGAAUUGCAGAAUUCAGUGAAUCAUCGAAUCUUUGAACGCACAUUGCGCCCUUUGGUAUUCCGAAGGGCAUGCCUGUUCGAGCGUCAUUAUCACCCCUCAAGCCCUCGGCUUGGUGUUGGACGGUUUGGUGGAGGCCCCCUCGGGGGCUCCUGCCCCUCCCAAAGACAAUGACGGCGGCCUCGUUGGACCCCCGGUACACUGAGUUCUUCACGGGACACGUAUCGGACACAUGGGUUUACGGGACACGGUCUGCCUCCCCUCAGGGAGAAUCUUUCUAAGGUUGACCUCGGAUCAGGUAGGGAUACCCGCUGAACUUAAGCAUAUCAAUAAGCGGAGGA